RNAcentral lists this ribosomal RNA (245 nucleotides) under uncultured bacterium. RNAcentral's name for it is "partial 16S ribosomal RNA". It matches the Rfam family "Bacterial small subunit ribosomal RNA", at positions 524 to 768 of the family's 1533-position model. The record is from RNAcentral.
UACGUAGGGGGCGAGCGUUGUCCGGAAUUACUGGGCGUAAAGGGUGCGCAGGCGGUUUUUUAAGUCAGAUGUGAAAUACCCGGGCUUAACCUGGGGGGUGCAUUUGAAACUGGGAGACUUGAGUGCAGGAGAGGAAAGUGGAAUUCCUAGUGUAGCGGUGAAAUGCGUAGAUAUUAGGAGGAACACCAGUGGCGAAGGCGACUUUCUGGACUGUAACUGACGCUGAGGCACGAAAGCGUGGGGAG